This 255-nucleotide ribosomal RNA is filed under the name uncultured bacterium. Its description in RNAcentral is "partial 16S ribosomal RNA". It matches the Rfam family "Bacterial small subunit ribosomal RNA", at positions 524 to 776 of the family's 1533-position model. The record is from RNAcentral.
UACGUAGGGCGCAAGCGUUAUCCGGAAUUAUUGGGCGUAAAGAGCUCGUAGGCGGUUUGUCGCGUCUGCCGUGAAAGUCCGGGGGCUCAACUCCGGAUCUGCGGGUGGGUACGGGCAGACUAGAGUGCAGUAGGGGAGACUGGAAUUCCUGGUGUAGCGGUGAAAUGCGCAGAUAUCAGGAGGAACACCGAUGGCGAAGGCAGGUCUCUGGGCUGUAACUGACGCUGAGGAGCGAAAGCAUGGGGAGCGAACAGG